Molecule: long non-coding RNA, 1525 nt
Filed under: Mus musculus (house mouse)
Lineage: Eukaryota; Metazoa; Chordata; Mammalia; Rodentia; Muridae
Description: long non-coding RNA chr12:89586395-89587920
Source: RNAcentral
AGUCAAAAUAAUAAAUAGAUGGAUUAUUCUUUUCAAUUAUGAAAAAUAGUAUGUUACCUUUGGAAUGUGUCUAUUCAGUGAAAAUAUAAAAACUUUAGAUUUGCUUGUAGGGCCAAACGGUUUUUUGCAGAUCUUCUGUCCUAUUCUGAAGUUGUUGAUGCAGUCUUUAAUUUACUUCCCAGUCAGUAGAGUUUAUUCACUUCUUAUCCCUAGCUAAUUAUUCUUGACAACUUAUAGUUUGACUUUAUUUAGGGGCAAGAAUGACUGUCCUUACCUUCCAAAAUCACUGCAAAAAAAAUCCAAUUAUUUAUCUGAGAACUUUACACUUUCCCUUUGUAGCAAGGAUCCCUAUAUCAAAUUUUACUUUAUUGCUGAUUGGUCACCAAAGCUAUGGGUGAGCAGAAAUCCUCAGCUCCCUGGCCUGUUUCCUGGGUCUCUCUUGAAAUCUGUGCAAAUUACUCAUGUUUGUUCGACAAAGAGUUUGACUUUUAUAUAUUGGUGAGUGGCUGAAAGCCCUGGCAUGCCUUCUCUAAUGUAUGGGUGUUGAAUGUGAAAUUGUGGAUUCAGAACAAAACCCAUUGUUGAAUAUGUUCUAGUUUUAGAAACAUCAACAAAAAUACCCAAAAGAAACAAAACUAAACAAACAAACAAAAAAACACUGGAGUCAGCAUUUGCACACUAUUCUCACUUGACAAUGUGCUGAAGGGAGAUACUGCAAAAGGCUGGCUCACUAUUGUUAGGAGAGUCACCAGAAUUACCACAGAAGUUGAAACUGUCUUCAUGGAAUGUAGGAGUGUCCCUGUCCUGGAGCUGGCCUUGAAGGUGACACAUACCUUGGACUCUUCCAGCAUUUCACCUGCAAGUGUCAACCUCCCUUUCUCAGAAGUAACCUUUUGUUCUGGUUGCAUUAUAGAUGGUUGUGUUGGUGAACUCUAUAGAUGUCCUGUGAGCCUCAGAGUCCCUCUCCCCUCUAGCUCAUGACUAAAACAUUUAGGUUGCUACCUAAAUGUGCAUUGGUAUAUAAACUUCCAUUUUAAAUUCAUAUGAGAAUAUCAAAGAUGAAAGAAGGUGAGGGAGUUGUCCAAGACAGCACAGACCCAGUGGGAUAUGGCAAUUUUUCUCCUUGUUGGGACAGGCUCAGAAACACGUGCUCCCCACUAUUCCAUGUGGUCCUCUGUUAAGUAUAGGAAACAAGAGUCUCUCUUUCCACUCCCCUUUCCAGGCUAGAAUCUUCCCGCUCUUCCUCAGACAUACCUACCACUCUGAUCUAAAUUCUUCAGUGUGAGAAUCAUGCAGGGGUUUUCCAGCAAUGUAGGUGUGCCUGAUCAUUUUGUAGCCACUUUACUCUCAAACCUUAUGUCUCUCCCUGGAAGUACUCUGUUCUUCACAAGUGGGUUCCCUCAAUUCCUUCCAUUUCACUGCUCCAGUGUUCUCUUUCAUACCAUGACCACAAUGUGUAAAUAUUUUGGUUUCUUGAUUGAUUUAUUGUCUGUUGACUUUAUUCCUCCACCAUCAAAGUAUGUUC